AGCGGCGGAUGGGUGCGUAACACGUGGGGAACCUGCCCCUAAGUCUGGGAUACCAUUUGGAAACAGGUGCUAAUACCGGAUAAUAAAGCAGAUCGCAUGAUCAGCUUUUGAAAGGCGGCGUAAGCUGUCGCUAAGGGAUGGCCCCGCGGUGCAUUAGCUAGUUGGUAAGGUAACGGCUUACCAAGGCGACGAUGCAUAGCCGAGUUGAGAGACUGAUCGGCCACAUUGGGACUGAGACACGGCCCAAACUCCUACGGGAGGCAGCAGUAGGGAAUCUUCCACAAUGGACGCAAGUCUGAUGGAGCAACGCCGCGUGAGUGAAGAAGGUUUUCGGAUCGUAAAGCUCUGUUGUUGGUGAAGAAGGAUAGAGGUAGUAACUGGCCUUUAUUUGGCGGUAAUCAACCAGAAAGUCACGGCUAACUACGUGCCAGCAGCCGCGGUAAUACGUAGGUGGCAAGCGUUGUCCGGAUUUAUUGGGCGUAAAGCGAGCGCAGGCGGAAAAAUAAGUCUAAUGUGAAAGCCCUCGGCUUAACCGAGGAACUGCAUCGGAAACUGUUUUUCUUGAGUGCAGAAGAGGAGAGUGGAACUCCAUGUGUAGCGGUGGAAUGCGUAGAUAUAUGGAAGAACACCAGUGGCGAAGGCGGCUCUCUGGUCUGCAACUGACGCUGAGGCUCGAAAGCAUGGGUAGCGAACAGGAUUAGAUACCCUGGUAGUCCAUGCCGUAAACGAUGAGUGCUAAGUGU
Molecule: ribosomal RNA, 743 nt
Filed under: uncultured bacterium
Lineage: Bacteria
Description: bacterial SSU rRNA
Rfam family: Bacterial small subunit ribosomal RNA
Source: RNAcentral